UGGCUUACGCUUCUGUGUAGGUGCUCGCUUCUUAGAGGGACUUUCGGUGACUAACCGAAGGAAGUUGGGGGCAAUAACAGGUCUGUGAUGCCCUUAGAUGUCCUGGGCCGCACGCGCGCUACACUGAUGCAUGCAACGAGUUCUUUUUUUUCCUGGG
Molecule: ribosomal RNA, 157 nt
Filed under: Saccharina latissima
Lineage: Eukaryota; Phaeophyceae; Laminariales; Laminariaceae
Description: nuclear SSU rRNA
Rfam family: Eukaryotic small subunit ribosomal RNA
Source: RNAcentral